AUUGAACGCUGGCGGCAUGCCUUACACAUGCAAGUCGAACGGCAGCACGGGGGGCAACCCUGGUGGCGAGUGGCGAACGGGUGAGUAAUAUAUCGGAACGUGCCCUGGAGUGGGGGAUGACUAGUCGAAAGAUUAGCUAAUACCGCAUACGAUCUACGGAUGAAAGUGGGGACCGCAAGGCCUCAUGCUCGUGGAGCGGCCGAUAUCUGAUUAGCUAGUUGGNGGGGUAAGAGCCCACCAAGGCGACGAUCGGUAGCUGGUCUGAGAGGACGACCAGCCACACUGGGACUGAGACACGGCCCAGACUCCGUACGGGAGGCAGCAGUGGGGAAUAUUGGACAAUGGGCGCAAGCCUGAUCCAGCCAU
RNAcentral lists this ribosomal RNA (366 nucleotides) under uncultured bacterium. RNAcentral describes it as "bacterial SSU rRNA". It matches the Rfam family "Bacterial small subunit ribosomal RNA", at positions 29 to 395 of the family's 1533-position model. The record is from RNAcentral.